AAAAACAAAAAAAAAAAAAAAAAAAAAAAAAAAAAAAAAAAAAAAAAAAACUACCACACUACUAUACUAUAUAUACCACUACACUACAUACUAAUAUAUCGGACACCACCACUACAUGCUACACAAACAUACUACAUAUACACACACACGGAAACCAAAAACACUACUACUACAUUACUACACACUACCACUGCUACAAUUAUAUAUGAUAUCUAUGCACAAAACACACACAAAAUAUAUACUACACCACUACANNN
Molecule: long non-coding RNA, 257 nt
Filed under: Capsicum annuum
Lineage: Eukaryota; Viridiplantae; Streptophyta; Magnoliopsida; Solanales; Solanaceae
Description: long non-coding RNA (CANN_LNC022295)
Source: RNAcentral